Molecule: ribosomal RNA, 497 nt
Filed under: uncultured bacterium
Lineage: Bacteria
Description: partial 16S ribosomal RNA
Rfam family: Bacterial small subunit ribosomal RNA
Source: RNAcentral
GAUGAACGCUGGCGGCGUGCCUAAUACAUGCAAGUCGAGCGAACAGAUGAGGAGCUUGCUCCUCUGACGUUAGCGGCGGACGGGUGAGUAACACGUGGAUAACCUACCUAUAAGACUGGGAUAACUUCGGGAAACCGGAGCUAAUACCGGAUAAUAUAUUGAACCGCAUGGUUCAAUAGUGAAAGACGGUUUUGCUGUCACUUAUAGAUGGAUCCGCGCCGCAUUAGCUAGUUGGUAAGGUAACGGCUUACCAAGGCAACGAUGCGUAGCCGACCUGAGAGGGUGAUCGGCCACACUGGAACUGAGCCACGGUCCAGACUCCUACGGGAGGCAGCAGUAGGGAAUCUUCCGCAAUGGGCGAAAGCCUGACGGAGCAACGCCGCGUGAGUGAUGAAGGUCUUCGGAUCGUAAAACUCUGUUAUUAGGGAAGAACAAAUGUGUAAGUAACUAUGCACGUCUUGACGGUACCUAAUCAGAAAGCCACGGCUAACUACGUG